UCCCCGGUAGCUCAGUUGGUAGAGCGCAUGGCUGUUAACCAUGAUGUCCGAGGUUCGAGCCCUCGCCGGGGAG
This 73-nucleotide transfer RNA is filed under the name Candidatus Omnitrophota bacterium. RNAcentral's name for it is "Candidatus Omnitrophica bacterium tRNA-Asn". It matches the Rfam family "tRNA". Rfam says of the family: Transfer RNA (tRNA) molecules are approximately 80 nucleotides in length. Lineage: Bacteria; Pseudomonadati; Candidatus Omnitrophota. The record is from RNAcentral.